UGAAUCAGACCCACAAUCAUUUCCAUUAUUUAUAUGCUAUAUUAUCUGCAGCCAAAAAUAAAUUCCAUUACCCUUUUCUCUGUUCCUUCCCCUGAACUCCUUAAACAACUCACUCUUUUAUUAUUAUUAUUAUUAUUAUUAUUAUUAUUAUUAUUAUUAUUAUUUUGUGUUUCACUACUUCCAUGAUGCCAGUUUCAACCAUGUGAAGUUGUUGUGCGUGCUGUGUUUGUUGUUGUGUACUGUUUUGGACCUUCAGAACCAACCAUGAAUCUCAGCAACGGCAAGGGAUCCACUUCGAGUUCUCCUCUGAAAGCCGGAGAUUCUGUCUCCGACCAGUUUCCGGCGGGUCUCCGGGUGCUGGUGGUGGAUGAUGACCCCACUUGCCUUAUGAUCCUUGAGAGGAUGCUCCGUGCUUGUCUCUAUGAAGUGACGAAAUGCCAGCGAGCUGAGGUUGCAUUGUCUCUCUUGAGAGAGAACAAAAACGGGUUUGAUAUCGUUUUAAGCGAUGUGCAUAUGCCAGAUAUGGAUGGAUUUAAGCUUUUGGAGCAUAUUGGGUUGGAGAUGGACCUUCCGGUUAUUAUGAUGUCAGCUGAUGAUGGGAAACAUGUUGUGAUGAAAGGGGUGACACAUGGUGCCUGUGAUUACCUGAUUAAACCUGUUCGGAUUGAGGCUUUGAAGAAUAUAUGGCAGCAUGUGAUUCGGAAGAGAAAGAACGGUUUGAGAGAUGUGGAGCAAUCGGGUAGCGUGGAAGAAGGAGAUCAGCCUCCAAAGGUAUCUGAUGAUGGAGAUUACUCGUCUUCUGUGAAUGAAGCCAGAAGCUCUAAGAAGAGGAGGGACGAGGACGAGGAAGGAGAUGAGAAGGAUGAUUCCUCCACGUUGAAGAAGCCGCGAGUUGUUUGGUCUGUUGAGCUUCAUCAACAGUUUAUGGCUGCUGUGAAUCAACUUGGAAUUGAUAAGGCUGUUCCUAAAAAGAUUUUGGAAUUGAUGAAUGUUCCUGGGCUCACUAGAGAAAAUGUUGCUAGCCACCUCCAGAAAUACCGUUUGUAUCUUAGAAGGCUGAGUGGAGUUUCACAGCAGCAGGGUAACUUGAACAACUCCUUCAUGAGCUCACAAGAAGCAACAUUUGGGGGAACCUCAAUCAAUGGAAUUGAUCUUCAAACUCUUUCAGCUGCUGGCCAGUUCCCAUCACAAAGUCUAGCCAAGCUUCAAGCCACGGGACUUGGCAGGACAACUGCUAAAGCUGGUGUGCCUAUGCCUCUAUCUGAUCAAAAAAACCUUUUCAGUUUUGAGAACCCAAGAUUAAGAUUUGGAGAAGGGUCACUACAACAUUUAAGCAACAGUAAGCCUAUAAACUUGCUUCAUGGAAUUCCAACCAACAUGGAGCCAAAACAACUCGCCAAUUUGCACCAAUCUACCCAACCCCUUGGUAGCUUGAAUAUGCGAGUCAAUGCUCCUGUCACACAGAACAACCCUUUGUUGAUGCAGAUGGCUCAGUCUCAACCAAGAGGUCAGAUGCUAGGUGAAAAUGCUGGUUCUCAUGUAACCAGGUUUCCGUCAUCUUUGGUGCAGCCUACAGUAUCAAAUGGUAUUUCUAAUGGUGUUUUGGGAAAUGGGAUUGCUGGCACCAGCAACAUAACUACUUAUAAUCCAGUUCAACAAAACUCGUCAUUGUUGAGUUUUCCCAUGAACCAAACAAAUGAAAUAUCUGUCAGUAAUUUCCCUCUUAGAAGCAGUCCAGGUAUAACUAGUAUCACAAAUAAAGGUAUGUUUCAUGAAGAAGGUACCUCUGGUAUUAAAGGACCUGGUGGAUUUGUUCAAGGGUAUGACAUGUUUAAUGAACUCCACCAUCAGAAGUCCCAUGAUUGGGACUUAACAAACACUGGCAUGACAUAUGAUGCUGCUCACCAUGCAAAUCCUUUACAAGGUAACAUUGAUGUCUCACCAUCAGUUUUGGUCCAUCAGAGUUUUCCCACCAUGCACCAGACUGUACAAAAUAGAGAUACUACUUCAAUUGGAAAAGCUAUGUUCUCCACAGGUGAAGGCAUGCAUCAAAGUAAUCUCCAAAAUGUUGGUCAACACCACAAUAACCUUCUUCUUGACAAUUCAGUAAGGGUUAAGGCUGAAAGAAUUCCUGAUCCUAGCUGCCAGAUUAAUAACCUCUUCGCUGAUCAAUAUGGUCAGGAGGAUCUUGUCAGUGCAUUUCUGAAACAGGGGUGACAAAUGCUGCUGUGACUCCAAAAGAAGACCAAUUGAAGAUAAAUGAGGAGGACAAAGGAGACAUUUGGACAAGGGUUAGUAAGCCAACUAGAGACAGAGGUAUCAAGCGAAGAAGGUAAGUAGGUACCUUGACCAGAGGGUUGACCACACAAGAAUCCAUCGUUAGCCAAGGUAACAGAAGAAGGCAUGGGCACAGCGGGUGGCGCCACUCCAAGCAAGGUCCCCAACAUGUCCACCCUCACUUGCAUCUGAUUCAAGUCCCCGGCGGUCGCCUGUUAGGUGCUGGGUUUGUGGUUGCUGGUUUCGAGGGUCCAGCACCUCCAGAAGAAGAAGAAGAGAAGAAGACAAGCUCAAGGUAAGGAGGAAAUUAUAUUUCUCAUAUCCUGCUUGUUUGUUUACAUGGCUAUAUAUAGAGGAAUUCACAUAACAAAUUUGUGUCAAUUCUUAUUCAAAAGGAAUAUUCUAAUAACAGAUUUUGUUAUGCAUGUAUGCCUAUGAGGGAGCAAACACCCCAAGCAGGAUUUGGUGCUGAUUCUACUAAUCCGGUCUUCCAAUUCUGCCCCUUAGACGUCAUCAUCAAGGUUUUGGUUUUGACCGUUUUGUUCGGUGGUGAUCACGUAAGUUUGGAUGUGGGCAUGGUCAAGGAGAAGGGUGGCUUGGCCAAAUGGCUAAUUAAGUUGAAACGGUAUUUAGGAGUGGGUUGGAAUUUGGAUAUUUUGUUUUCGGAUUAAUUCCUGAGUGGUGACUUGUUUGUUUAGGAAGUGUUUAUUAUUGUUUACAGAUUCUCAAAUUAUGACCAAUUGCUGAAUGAGAAAGGGUAUUUGUUGCAUGCCA
Molecule: RNA transcript, 3051 nt
Organism: Glycine soja
Lineage: Eukaryota; Viridiplantae; Streptophyta; Magnoliopsida; Fabales; Fabaceae
Gene name: two-component response regulator ARR2-like
Exons: 9
Source: RefSeq, a predicted model, not a curated record